Molecule: ribosomal RNA, 438 nt
Filed under: uncultured bacterium
Lineage: Bacteria
Description: bacterial SSU rRNA
Rfam family: Bacterial small subunit ribosomal RNA
Source: RNAcentral
AGAGCAUGACCCCCAGCAUUGGCACUGAGACACUGGCCAAACUCCUACGGGAGGCUGCAGUCGAGAAUAUUCCACAAUGGGCGAAAGCCUGAUGGAGCGACACCGCGUGCGAGAUGAAGGCCCUAGGGUCGUAAAUCGCUUUUAUUAGGGAUCAAUGUACUGAGCGUACCUAAUGAAUAAGAGGUUACUAACUCUGUGCCCGCAGUAGCGGUAAUACAGAGACCUCAAGCGUUAUCCGGAUUUAUUGGGCGUAAAGCGUAUGUAGGCGGGUGUGUUAGUCGUGGGUCAAAUUUCAGAGCUCAACUCUGAAGCUGCUCGCGAAACGGCACAUCUAGANAAAGUGANAGAUGACUGGAACUCAUGGUGUAGUAGUGAAAUGCGUUGAUAUCAUGGGGAACACUAAAGGCGAACGCAGGNCAUUGGCNCUUUUCUGACGCU